UCGGAACGUGCCCCGGAGUGGGGGAUAACGCCGCGAAAGCGGCGCUAAUACCGCAUAUGCUCUGAGGAGGAAAGCGGGGACCUGUGAGGGCCUCGCGCUCUGGGAGCGGCCGAUGUCCGAUUAGCUAGUUGGUGGGGUAAUGGCUCACCAAGGCGACGAUCGGUAGCUGGUCUGAGAGGAUGAUCAGCCACACGUGGGACUGAGACACGGCCCAGACUCCGUAGGGAG
This 228-nucleotide ribosomal RNA is filed under the name uncultured bacterium. RNAcentral's name for it is "partial 16S ribosomal RNA". It matches the Rfam family "Bacterial small subunit ribosomal RNA", at positions 118 to 347 of the family's 1533-position model. The record is from RNAcentral.